GACCUAGGGGGUAAGCGUGUACCUUCUCCCCAUUUUGGAGGCAGAGUGGCCUUCCUGGUAAUAACUAGUUCAAGCAUAAUGCAAAGGCAGUUGAUGCAUUCUGAGUGUACCGCUAAUAAUAGUAGGGGGACCAGCAGCUCACAAGCAUCCCAUCACUUGACCACAACAGACAUGUCAUUGAGCUCAGCUGAGAUUAGCCUUGCCUAAAUCAGCAGAACUUUAUAGGAGACCCAAAGACUCCUAAGAAAUAAUGAAACUGCUUUAAAAAUAAACGAGCUAUUUUUAAUAGUUAUUAAGUAUUGGGGUGGUUCGUUAUGCAGCAAAAGAUAACUGAUUCAGGUAUAAAGCACAUGGUCACAAAGGACCUAAGGGGAUGGGGUACAUAUUGGGUUUUGCAGUAGCCUUGGCAUUUAGCUCUAGAGCUUAUUUGUAGCUCAGAGCUGUGAACAUGAUGGGCUCAGCAUGGGGAGAUGAUAAAGUACAGGCGAGAAAGCCCCUUGCAAAGUGGUCAGGCACCCGGGCCAGGACAGGUCUAACCAUCCUCAGGAUGUGGCACGACCUCCUAUUUGUAGGUUAGGUGCAAACAAAUGCUCUUCUUCGAUGCUUACACCAACCCCAGGACCCACAGAAGGCAUUCUGUCUCCAUCAAUCCAGGGCUGGCAUAGGAUUUUAAGAGACAGGGCAUUUUCAAGGUAAAAGAGCAUUUCUGAAUCACAUUCAUCUAAUAAAUAGCUACCCAAUGUCGACUAUGGGCUCUCCACUGUUCCAGGCCUGGAAAUGUAGCAGUGUGCCUCAUGGAAAUGUAGCAGUGUGCCUCAUGGAAAUGUAGCAGUGUGCCUCAUGGAAAUGUAGCAGUGUGCCUCAUGGAGCUGACCUUCCCAUGUAACCUAGCAAGCCCUUGAAAAGGAGAGAAAAAAGUAAUGGGGAAAGGUAGCCUCCCUGUGGUAGUUUUAAAAUGUCUGCAAAUUCUUCUCUCCAAGAGGUGGAACUGAAUUUACCUCCCCUUGAGUACGGGCUGUACUUAGUGACUCACUUCUAACAAAGUCGGAAGUGAUGGCGUGUGGCUUCCAAGGGUAGGUCUUAAAAGACACUGCAAGCUCUGACCUGGGCUCCCUCUUCGAUCACUAGCUCUGGGGAAGCCAGCUGCCAUGCUAAAAAAGACACUCAAGCAGCCCCACGGAGAGGUCCACAACGCAAGGAGCUGAGUCCUCCCACCAACAGCCAGUGAGGAGCCGAGGCCUCCCACCUACAACCAGUGAGGAGCUGAGGCCUCCUGCCACAGUCACGGGAGUGAGCCUUGGAAGCAGAUCCUCCAGUGUCCGUCAGGCCUUCAGAAACUGCAGCCCCUGCUGACAUCUUGACUGAAACUUCAAAAUCAUCCAGCUAAGCUGCUUCCAAAUUCCCAGCUGGGAGAUGAUAAAUGUUUCAAGCUGCUAAGUUUCAGGGUAAUUUGUUACACAGCAACAGAUAACAAAUGCAUUCCCCCUAUCCCCCUGCUUUUCCAACUUUGAUCCAUUCCUCCUUCCUUCAUACUCACCAUACACCACAUAAUGGGGGAACAAGGAUGUAACAAGACAGGAUUCUGGGGAACUGAGCUCAAAAGGGAAAGUUCUAAUGAACAUUUGCUAUACUGAAGUGGAAGAAGCAAAAGCUUGUGAGCAGCACUGAGCCCGCACUUGCUUUACCUGGAAGUCCAAGCCCCACAUCAGUUUGUGCUUCUUCUGGCUGCCCAGACCCAGGUUAGGGGAGCUAGGAAUUUGGAGGGAAGGGUUAAGGGAGGCUGGCUGGACAUGCAGACUCACUUGAGCAGGAUCUCAUACUGGCCGGCAUGCCAGGGCUGCACCUUCUUUAGAACCAGGGUGAACACGUCCUCAUUCUGAAGCACCUCGAAGUGGCCAGUGUCUUUGCAGAGGGCUUUGCCAUCUCUGAGCCAGUGCACGGUAGGAAAGGGGUCACCAGCUAUGGCGCAGGAGAUGAGGACACUCUGGCCCAGGGAGGCUGUCACUGAGCGAGGCUUACUGAUGAACCAGGGCUGGGUGCCAUCGUGAGGCUCUGGAAAUUGGCAAAGGGCAGAGCUAAACAGGGAUGUCCCUCAGCAGGCAGUGUCCACUCAAUUCUCCAUGGAGGUGAAGGAUGGGAAGAUAGCAUGUCACCCAAGUAACAGAUUGUCCAGAAAUCACUGUGAUUGGAUACACAAAUGCAGCACACCCUUCUCAUUGCACAUCCAUCUCGGAUACAUUCUCAGAGGAUAAUAUUAACAUGACUGUAUAUCCAAUGUAAGGGGAGGUAGCCCAGAAGGCACGGGGCACCGAGCCAGGUGCUAAUGAUCUGUAUCCAAUGCGUGUGAUUAAGAGUUGUCACUCACUUUAUGUGUGCUUAACUUGCCUCUCCUCUUAAAUAUGUUAUCUAAUGGCAAGGACCCUGUUAAGCCUAUAACUCACCUCAAAAUCUAUCGCUGCCAAAUUGUUAAGUGUAUUACAGAUUUCCCUCUUAGUACUCUAUGCACCUUGGCACCAGUAACCCAGAGAGGGCAGGGACUUCAGAAAGCUGGGAAAGGCAGCCCCACUCAGUCAGAGCUUGUGAUGUUGGACAGGGAGCUGGCCUCUGGGGCUGGGGUGGGACUGAGGGACGAGAGGGCCCUCAGUGGGAACAAAGUAGCCUCAUGUGGUUUCCUUGCCUCCAAAUCACUUUUGGAGGGGCUGCAGCAGCAUCUCCUUCCCACUCGCUCUGAGUGGGUCAGCCUCACCUUGUACCGUGAGCACGGCCUGGGUGCGGACCUCUCCAGCGCUGUUCCAGGCCUCGCAGGUGUACGUGCCCGUGUCCUCCGGGAACACUUCCUGGAUACAAAGGCUGUGCUGAGUUCCUCUCUGUUCAAAGUGGAAGUCCUCUGACUCUUGGAUCUCAUUCCCAUUGUGCAGCCAGAUGACUUCAGGGGGUGGAUUCCCUGAACCAGGAGGAGGGGAAGGGGGAUUGGUUAGGGAGGUCCUCCCCGGCCAUGCAGCAACUCUGCGCUGAAUGCAGUGAUAUUGGAUGAAACACUCCAACAACUCUCUAUGCUUUCACUUCCCCAUCAGUAAAAUAGGAAUUCAAACAGGAUCUACCUCAUGGGUUUGUUGGGAGGACCUUAAAAUUUGAAUAGUGCAACUGAGAACAUCUUCUGAGAUUUGGGAAGUUCUCACAUAAUUUUUUUUUUUUUUUUUUUUUUUGAGACAGAGUCUUUGCUCUGUCGCCCAGGCUGCAGUGCAGUGGUGCGAUCUCGGCUCACUGCAAGCUCCACCUCCCAGGUUCACGCCAUUCUCCUGCCUCAGCCUCCCGAGUAGCUGGGACUACAGGCACCGGCCACCACACCCAGCUAAUUUUUUGUAUUUUUUAGUAGAGACAGGGUUUCACCGUGUUAGCCAGGAUGGUCUCGAUCUCCUGACCUUGUGAUCUGCUGCCUCGGCCUCACAAAGUGCUGGGAUUACAGGCGUGAGCCACCGUGCCCGGCCCAUAAUCUGGUUUUGUACCAGUCUUCAAAACCUUCCAGCUACACUGGCCACACUAUAUUUUCAAAUUAAUCUUUCACUGCUCUAGCUCUAUGGCCAUCUUCUUCCUCUGGACCAUUUAAUCAUGAAUCCAGAAAAUCCUACCCAGAGAAGGCAGAAAAGAGAGGACAAGAGUCUCCAUUUCUUUGGGUCCAUCACCUGAUGGUCCCAUCUGAUUUUCUGGUGGAUCAAGGAUCUGAGCGGGUCCUCGGAGAGCAAUACCCAUUGCAACCAAGACCAUUUUCAUGUUAAUCCCCAAGAGAGAGCUGCAGAGACAGACCUGACACUUGGACAGUCAUAGUGACCUGGCUUCCAUCCAUGACUUUGAGAUCAGAGAGGCCCUGCAGGAAGAUGGGUGCAGUGGGCUUGCUGGGAGCCACAGGCAGAAGGUACUCACUCUUCCUGCUACUCUUCUUUUCUGUGUGGUAGAAAACAGAACGUGGGGUGAACAUUCAUGCAUUCAUUCAACAAACACAGACUAAAUGACCACUUGGUACAUGACUGUGUUGAUGCUCAGUUCCCACCAGAAACUGGCAGCUAACAGAUAAAGAGUGUUUGGAGUUUCUAGAGAUCAUUAGGAACAAGAUGCCUCCCAUUUCUCUGCUUGGCAAUGACGAUGUUCUUGCCUGAUAGCCAGGAAUGAACAAUGAGUUCUUAUAAGUUUGUGAGUUUUAAAAAAUAUUUUAUUUAUUUUUCAGAUAAAUGAUACACUCACAUGGCACAAAAUUCAAAAGGUACCAAAGAGUAUGGCAAGUCUCCCUCCCACCCCAUCCCCCAGCCAGGAGGCUGGAGGAAAACUUCCCCCAAAGCAGGUGCAGUUGAAGGGCAUGGAGCCUGAGUGUGAGAGCAGGUAACCCCCCACGGUCCCCUUGGAAGAUGGGGCUCUCAGGCCCCUGCUGCUCUCUGGUGCUGCUGACUCAGCACCGCAGCCUUCGAUGGAGGGCCGCCAGGGGCCUUGGCAGAAGCUCUGGGAGUGGGCUUGGGGGCACAGGAUUGGAAAUGCAUUGAUCUAUCUCGUUUCUCUCACUAGGCUGCAGCAGUCAGGAGAGCUGGCUGCCUCGGGAGAGUUGAGGAAUUUCCUGUCUUGCACAGACUGAGAAGGCUCAAGGACAAAAUGUUUUUGUCUUUCUAUAGCAUUCCCUGUUCCUGCCUCUCUGCAAUCUCAGCGAGUCCCCAGCCUUACAGAGCUUCAUGCAGAUGGGCUCAAAUUCCUAGAUGCUACGGGAACGUCACCAACUCCAGCGCACUCCCCUUUAAGCCUGUGGCAGUCUCCUCUUCAACCCCACCUUCUCUGGGUUCUUCCCACAGCCCCUGUUUCCUGGGGGUUUGGCAAAGCCAAGUCACCCUGUGGGUCUCAGCCAUUGGGGACUAAAAGCCUAUCUGCCUCUCCCUCCCCUGGGAGCUCAGAAGUAUGCAUGAAAGGGUGGCCUGGGAGCUGCCUCCCACCUGGCAGCUCACUGGUUCCACCUGCAGCUGUGGAGGGGAUCCUGGCCUCAGGCAAGUCUGCCUCCGUCUGAAGCCCCACUUCCUCAUCGGUCUCUACGGGGAGUCGUGGUAUCAUCACAGGACUUUGGGUAGUUUUAAAGAGAUAAUAGGUAAAAAUACUUUGUACAACCAUUCAUUAUCAAUGAGAACAUUUGUACGAGCCUAGCAUGAGAACUGACUCACAUCUAUCCACUUGGGCUCAAUUACUCAAUGGGUUUAUCAGCAGUCAAAGAACCAAUGGAGUCUGGGCUUCACCCAAGGAUUAUGGACUCAUUUUUAUAGGACCUGAGGCAAAUACUAUUAGGAAUACAAAUGCGUUGCUUAAAAAUAUCAUGGGAUAUAUCUCAAAGUAAAUUGAGGACAAGCUUUCAUUGCACCCCCUCCAGGAGAUGAGUGAGUGAACUUGGGGGAAACCGGCCGAUCGGCAGACAUUUAGUUCGGUGUCACUCAUUGCCCCCGGUCCUGUGUUUUGUUCCCCAAAGCCCUACAGCAAGAAAGAAGGGAAGAUGGAAAUGAUUGGGAGUGAAUGUUCAGAACGAGCCUGUUCUCAGACCGGCAAGGUGGGACCCAGUCCCAACUCACCAUUCCACUGUACUGGUGUAGAGACCAGGAGAGACUUAACUAACGGGAAGUGACUUGGCUAACAUCAUGGGGCCAGUGUGGGCAGACCCAGAGCUCAUGCCCAGGCCUUCUGAUGACAAGGCCGGGAUGUUACGUAGGCGUCCCUUCAAAGGGAACCAGUCUCCUCCAACGGUGCCCAUGGUGACCGCUCCAGGACAAACACACUGUCAGCUGACCCACAUCCUAGAUCCUUGACAACUGAGAAAAACUAAAGCAGAACAGAGACAAGCCAGGUGAAAAGAGCAACACAAUGUGUGUGUGUGUGUGUGUGUGUGUGUGUGUAUUGCAAUUCAUUCCAAAGCCAAACAAAUUAUUCUGGCUCAUCUCUGGCCUCUAGCCUCUAUCAGUUUCUGCUCACUCUUCUGUGGACUUAAGUAAAAUACGAAAGGACAGAUGGAAACUGGCAUUCUUAACUCGUGGCCCUGGCUGUGUGAUCUGAAGCAACCUUCCCAAAGCAAGCCUCGGUGUUCUCUCCUCCAAACUUAUGGCAACAUAAUACUGAGAAGUAUGAUGUCUGCAUCAUCAGUCUAAUGCAUGGUAAUAUUGCAGGGUUUUAGAUGAUUAGAAAGUAACAUAUAAAACAGCUAGAACAAUACAUGGCACACAAGCAGUAUAAAAAUCAAUGUUUUCUGACUUUCCCAACCCAACUAACUCCUUUGGUUGUGGAAAUUCAACCUGAUAAUAACUCCAAUGAGAAAAACCCCCCAAACCAGAACUUUCAUGUAACGAUGAUUCCUUAUAAAGCCCAGCGCUCCAGGAUUCCAAAAGAUGUUCAUAGCUAAUUCAGUGUUACCCUCAACAUCUCGGAAGUAUUGGGCAGAUUGUGUCUGUUUUACAGUGGAGGGAGCUGAGACUCAGAGAAAGAAGCUCGCCUGUCCUAAGGUCCUGGGGCUGCGAUGCCCCAUGAGGAGGGAGAUGCUGCUGGUGGGGUCCUGGUCUGGGUGCUUUCCCUUGACUGUCCUGGGAGCAGAGGCAGGUCUCAAUUCUGUGAGGAGCUUUCUGUCAUCAUCCAUAUUCAUGUCCAGAGCUACCCAUUACCCUGGGAGUCACUCCUCUCUGCUUGUCCUUGGCCUCCUUCUAGCAUCAUCCUGGUUUAAGGACCAGGGUCUGAGGCAAGAGGCCCCCAGUGACAAGGUUGUCUCAGAGAGCCCAAGACUUCUUCGUCUUGGGAGGACACCCACUGGCCAUGGCACACAAAUAGCAAGGGAUGCUUUGCUGAGACCCAGUGACAGACUUGCCCAGCUCAAAUGGGGCCAAACUAAAUAUACCCCGGGUUUCCCCACAGCUGUGCUUCCUGCUGCUCUGCUGAGACUGAGCCCAGAGAGGGCCUUCUUUCUGGAGUGCAGAAAGGGCUGAGUCUCCUUGCUUUCCUUGCCUAGGAUUAAGGAUCUAAAGUGCAUUUAUCUGUUGCUCUGUUACUUGGUAUUAGCCAAUUCACUCCUGGACUCAGUCAUUAAACUGCCACUGUCCCAUUUUGACAGAAUGGAAAAGGAUUGAUCGGGCUGUCGUCCAAUGGGAAAGACAAGCACAAUGACUAAGAAUAAGCCCAAGCAGAUUGCUGACAAGUAAAAACGAUGCCAUGUAGACGAAGCUGUUAAUAGGACUUAAGAAAGAGCAAGAAUGGAGAAAGGGAAGAACAGAGAGAAGAGAAAGAAAAAGAGGCAAUGUGAGGAAGAGAGAGGGGGAAAAGGGAAGCAAAGGAAGGGGGAGAGAAUGAGAGACAGACAGAUAUACGCACUCUCCCCUUUAUGAUUCUACUGACCCAUGGAGUUUUUCCGUCCUUGCCAUUUUGGCUGUUUUUGACUCACUAGAAGUUGUUUUUGAAGCCAGUUCCUAGUCAUGAAACUAAACAUGAAAUGAUCGCUCUGGUGAAGCAAAAGCAUCAAACAAAUGACCUAUCAGGAUCCAAGAGCAGCCAUGCAGAAAGCCCAUGGGCUGAAGCAGGUGGUGGCCUGGUGCUGCUGCUGAUCACCUGGACUACUGUGGGCAGCUGACAUCACCUCCUGAGCAUCACUUUCUUCAUCUGUAAAGUGAAUUCGGAAGUGUCAAGUGGAGUUGUUGUGAGAAUUAAAUAAAACAAGCCAGCUUUUCUAGCCAA
RNAcentral lists this long non-coding RNA (7728 nucleotides) under Homo sapiens (human). Its description in RNAcentral is "long non-coding RNA NONHSAT091545.2". Lineage: Eukaryota; Metazoa; Chordata; Mammalia; Primates; Hominidae. The record is from RNAcentral.